UUGCUGUGAUGACCAACUUAGGACACCUUUGGAUUAACCAUGAAAAAAAACUCACAUGUGGCACAGCAUU
Zalophus californianus (California sea lion) is the source of this 70-nucleotide small nucleolar RNA. Its record names the gene SNORD58. It matches the Rfam family "Small nucleolar RNA SNORD58". Rfam says of the family: snoRNA U58 is found in introns 1, 3 and 6 of the ribosomal protein RPL17 gene in humans. The record is from Ensembl. NCBI's taxonomy places the organism in Eukaryota, Metazoa, Chordata, Mammalia, Carnivora, Otariidae.